UUAACGGCCGCGGUAUUUUGACCGUGCAAAGGUAGCAUAAUCAUUUGUCCUUUAAUUGGGGGCUAGAAUGAAAGAAAGUUUGAAGCUUUUUCUGUCUCUUUUUUAUUUUUGUAAUUUGCUGUUCUUGUGAAGAAGCAAGAGUUGUUAAAAAAGACAAGAAGACCCUAUUAAGCUUUUUUUUUUUGUUUUUAUUCGUUUGAAUAUAAAAACAAAAAGAUUUGGUUGGGGUGACUAAAGAAGAAAAAUUUAUCUUCUUUUUUUAAAAAUAACUAUUUGUUUAACAGAGACCCAAAAUUUUUUGGUUGUAAGAAUUAGUUACUAUAGGGAUAACAGCGUUAUCUUUUCAUAAAGUUCUUAUUGAAGAAAAGGAUUGCGACCUCGAUGUUGACUUACUUUAUCCUAUAAAGGUGUAGCAGCUGUGAGGGUUGGU
RNAcentral lists this ribosomal RNA (430 nucleotides) under Lineus clandestinus. RNAcentral's name for it is "partial 16S ribosomal RNA". It matches the Rfam family "Archaeal large subunit ribosomal RNA", at positions 2001 to 2645 of the family's 2987-position model. Lineage: Eukaryota; Metazoa; Nemertea; Pilidiophora; Heteronemertea; Lineidae. The record is from RNAcentral.